GAUGAACGCUGGCGGCGUGCCUAAUACAUGCAAGUCGAGCGAACGGACGAGAAGCUUGCUUCUCUGAUGUUAGCGGCGGACGGGUGAGUAACACGUGUAUACCCUACCUAUAAGACUGGGAUAACUUCGGGAAACCGGCGCUAAUACCGUAUGAUAUUUUGAACCGCAUGGUUCAAAAGUGAAAGACGGUCUUGCUGUCACUUAUAGAUGGAUCCGCGCUGCAUUAGCUAGUUGGUAAGGUAACGGCUUACCAAGGCAACGAGGCAUAGCCGACCUGAGAGGGGGAUAGGCCACAUGGGAAGUGGGACAGGGACAAUAGUACUGAGGGAGGCACCAGUAGGGAACGGGACGCAAUGGGCGAAAGUCUUACGGAGCAGGGCCGAGUGAGUUAUGACGGCGUUGGGAUCGUAAAACUCUCUUAUUAGGGAAGAACAGAUGUGUAAGUAACUGUGCACAGCUUGACGGUACCUAAUCAGAAAGCCACGGCUAACUACGUG
RNAcentral lists this ribosomal RNA (497 nucleotides) under uncultured bacterium. RNAcentral describes it as "partial 16S ribosomal RNA". It matches the Rfam family "Bacterial small subunit ribosomal RNA", at positions 28 to 507 of the family's 1533-position model. The record is from RNAcentral.